Molecule: long non-coding RNA, 977 nt
Filed under: Marmota monax (woodchuck)
Lineage: Eukaryota; Metazoa; Chordata; Mammalia; Rodentia; Sciuridae
Source: RNAcentral
GUCACAGCCACAGGCAUUAUGGCUUCUGGAGUUACAGUGAAUGAUGAAGUCAUCAAAGUUUUUAAUGAUAUGAAAGUAAGGAAAUCUUCUACACAAGAGGAGAUCAAAGAAAGAAAGCAGUUCUCUUCUGUUUAAGCGACGACAAAAGACAAAUAAUCGUAGAGGAAGCAAAGCAGAUCUUGGUGGGUGACAUUGGUGAUACUGUAGAGGACCCCCUACACAUCUUUUGUGAAGUUUCUACCUCUGCAUGGUUGCCAAUAUGCUUUGUACGAUGCCAUCUACGAAACAAAAGAGUCUAAGAAAGAAGACCUAGUAUUUAUAUUCUGGGCUCCUGAAAGUGCACCCUUAAAAAGCAAGAUGAUUUAUGCUAGCUCUAAAGAUGCCAUUAAAAAGAAAUUUACAGGUAUUAAAUACGAGUGGCAAGUACAUGGCUUGGAUGAUAUUAAGGACCCAUCAACACUCGGAGAGAAAUUGAGAGGCAAUGUAGUAGUUUCACUUGGAGGAAAACCAUUAUAAAAUGACCAUCAAGUGCCAUCUGGGUCUUAAGGGGUUUCAUUUCUCCAGCUCAGUCCAUUGGAAUAGCAUUAGGUGUUUUUUUCAUUUUUUUGUUUUUGUUUUUCCCUUUCCUCUGGGCCCUUCCAACACAGUGAAUGAAGGAGAUAUCGUUCAUUUAAGCAGCCUGUCAGUGAUUACCAUUAGACUCUUCAAUACGGUUACUUUUAUGUAGAAGGAAUACCUUCCUGUCUUUAUUUAAGCCCAAACAACUGGUUAUAUGCCUCCUUUGCAGCAAGCACUACAAUGAAUGUGAUUAUCAAUGUGAACAGUCUAGAAUACUGCAAAGGGUAAGCAGAUUGAAUGCCUUGAAAGUAUUAUCCACGGGUCAGAUGGUGAACUUUUUUCAGUAUUAUUUAUAGUUGCACUUGAUUUUAGUUCUGUGAGGCUCUGGAGCAUUCAUACACUUCACCUGCCUUGGCAAG